GGGGGGGGCGAGCGUUUAUUCGGAAUUAUUGGGCGUAAAGGGCGUGUAGGCGGCCUCGUGUGUCCCAUGUGAAAGCCCUCGGCUCAACCGGGGAACUGCACGGGAAACUGCGGGGCUUGAGUCCGGGAGAGGAGAGCGGAAUUCCCAGUGUAGCGGUGAAAUGCGUAGAUAUUGGGAGGAACACCAGUGGCGAAGGCGGCUCUCUGGACCGGUACUGACGCUGAGACGCGAAAGCCAGGGGAGCAAACGGGAUUAGAUACCCCGGGUAGUCCUGGCUGUAAACGAUGAGCACUUGGUGUGGUGGGUAUCGACCCCCCUGCCCGUGCCGAAGCUAACGCAUUAAGUGCUCCGCCUGGGGAGUACGGCCGCAAGGCUA
This 376-nucleotide ribosomal RNA is filed under the name uncultured organism. RNAcentral's name for it is "partial 16S ribosomal RNA". It matches the Rfam family "Bacterial small subunit ribosomal RNA", at positions 527 to 896 of the family's 1533-position model. The record is from RNAcentral.